This 253-nucleotide ribosomal RNA is filed under the name uncultured bacterium. Its description in RNAcentral is "partial 16S ribosomal RNA". It matches the Rfam family "Bacterial small subunit ribosomal RNA", at positions 524 to 776 of the family's 1533-position model. The record is from RNAcentral.
UACGUAGGUGGCAAGCGUUAUCCGGAAUUAUUGGGCGUAAAGCGCGCGCAGGCGGUUUCUUAAGUCUGAUGUGAAAGCCCACGGCUCAACCGUGGAGGGUCAUUGGAAACUGGGGAACUUGAGUGCAGAAGAGAAAAGCGGAAUUCCACGUGUAGCGGUGAAAUGCGUAGAGAUGUGGAGGAACACCAGUGGCGAAGGCGGCUUUUUGGUCUGUAACUGACGCUGGGGCGCGAAAGCGUGGGGAGCAAACAGG